UACGGAGGAUGCGAGCGUUAUCCGGAUUUAUUGGGUUUAAAGGGUGCGUAGGCGGUUUAUUAAGUUAGUGGUUAAAUGUUUGAGCUAAACUCAAUACUGCCAUUAAUACUGGUAAACUGGAGUUCAGACGAGGUAGGCGGAAUAAGUUAAGUAGCGGUGAAAUGCAUAGAUAUAACUUAGAACUCCGAUAGCGAAGGCAGCUUACCAGACUGAAACUGACGCUGAUGCACGAGAGCGUGGGUAGCGAACAGG
This 252-nucleotide ribosomal RNA is filed under the name Odoribacter splanchnicus. RNAcentral describes it as "partial 16S ribosomal RNA". It matches the Rfam family "Bacterial small subunit ribosomal RNA", at positions 524 to 776 of the family's 1533-position model. The record is from RNAcentral. Lineage: Bacteria; Pseudomonadati; Bacteroidota; Bacteroidia; Bacteroidales; Odoribacteraceae.